RNAcentral lists this transfer RNA (76 nucleotides) under Halorarum halophilum. Its description in RNAcentral is "Halobaculum halophilum tRNA". It matches the Rfam family "tRNA". From Rfam's summary of the family: Transfer RNA (tRNA) molecules are approximately 80 nucleotides in length. Their secondary structure includes four short double-helical elements and three loops (D, anti-codon, and T loops). The record is from Rfam by way of RNAcentral. Lineage: Archaea; Methanobacteriati; Methanobacteriota; Halobacteria; Halobacteriales; Haloferacaceae.
GCUCUCGGAGUCUCCGCUGGCGAGAGAUGCGAGACUUUCAAUCUCGAGGUCGAGGGUUCAAUUCCCUUCGAGAGCA